AUUGAACGCUGGCGGCAGGCCUAACACAUGCAAGUCGAACGAGUGGCGGACGGGUGAGUAAUGUCUGGGAAACUGCCCGAUGGAGGGGGCUAACUACUGGAAACGGUAGCUAAUACCGCAUACCAUCGGAUGUGCCCAGAUGGGAUUAGCUAGUAGGUGGGGUAACGGCUCACAUAGGCGACGAUCCCUAGCUGGUCUGAGAGGAUGACCAGCCACACUGGAACUGAGACACGGUCCAGACUCCUACGGGAGGCAGCAGUGGGGAAUAUUGCACAAUGGGCGCAAGCCUGAUGAAGCCAUGCCGCGUGUAUGAAGAAGGCCUGCGGGGUGUAAAGUACUUUCAGCGAGGAGGCGUUACUCGCAGAAGAAGCACCGGCUAACGCCGUGCCAGCCGCCGCGGUAAUAC
This 406-nucleotide ribosomal RNA is filed under the name uncultured bacterium. RNAcentral's name for it is "partial 16S ribosomal RNA". It matches the Rfam family "Bacterial small subunit ribosomal RNA", at positions 30 to 526 of the family's 1533-position model. The record is from RNAcentral.